This 495-nucleotide ribosomal RNA is filed under the name uncultured bacterium. RNAcentral's name for it is "partial 16S ribosomal RNA". It matches the Rfam family "Bacterial small subunit ribosomal RNA", at positions 28 to 507 of the family's 1533-position model. The record is from RNAcentral.
GACGAACGCUGGCGGCGUGCCUAAUACAUGCAAGUAGAACGCUGAAGGAGGAGCUUGCUUCUCUGGAUGAGUUGCGAACGGGUGAGUAACGCGUAGGUAACCUGCCUGGUAGCGGGGGAUAACUAUUGGAAACGAUAGCUAAUACCGCAUAACAGUAGAUAUCGCAUGAUAUCUACUUGAAAGGUGCAAUUGCAUCACUACCAGAUGGACCUGCGUUGUAUUAGCUAGUUGGUGAGGUAACGGCUCACCAAGGCGACGAUACAUAGCCGACCUGAGAGGGUGAUAGGCCACACUGGGACGGAGACACGGCCCAGACUCCUACGGGAGGCAGCAGUAGGGAAUCUUCGGCAAUGGACGGAAGUCUGACCGAGCAACGCCGCGUGAGUGAAGAAGGUUUUCGGAUCGUAAAGCUCUGUUGUAAGAGAAGAACGAGUGUGAGAGUGGAAAGUUCACACUGUGACGGUAGCUUAACAGAAAGGGACGGCUAACUACGUG